RNAcentral lists this ribosomal RNA (524 nucleotides) under uncultured bacterium. RNAcentral describes it as "bacterial SSU rRNA". It matches the Rfam family "Bacterial small subunit ribosomal RNA", at positions 355 to 896 of the family's 1533-position model. The record is from RNAcentral.
UGGGGAAUAUUGGACAAUGGACCAAGAGUCUGAUCCAGCAAUUCUGUGUGCACGAUGAAGUUUUUCGGAAUGUAAAGUGCUUUCAGUUGGGAAGAAAGAAAUGACGGUACCAACAGAAGAAGUGACGGCUAAAUACGUGCCAGCAGCCGCGGUAAUACGUAUGUCACGAGCGUUAUCCGGAUUUAUUGGGCGUAAAGCGCGUCUAGGUGGUUAUGUAAGUCUGAUGUGAAAAUGCAGGGCUCAACUCUGUAUUGCGUUGGAAACUGUAUAACUAGAGUACUGGAGAGGUAAGCGGAACUACAAGUGUAGAGGUGAAAUUCGUAGAUAUUUGUAGGAAUGCCGAUGGGGAAGCCAGCUUACUGGACAGAUACUGACGCUGAAGCGCGAAAGCGUGGGUAGCAAACAGGAUUAGACACCCUGGUAGUCCACGCCGUAAACGAUGAUUACUAGGUGUUGGGGGUCGAACCUCAGCGCCCAAGCAAACGCGAUAAGUAAUCCGCCUGGGGAGUACGUACGCAAGUAUG